AAGAAGAGAACAACCUCUCUGGGAGCAACAAGAAACUCGUUGAAAAAUCUCCGUUCUGGGAAAUCAUUCUCAAGCAAGACUCUAUGGAUGAGGUGAGCCGAUAUUCUCAAGCAUUGUCUUAUUUUUAGAAGGAGGGAACCUAAUUUUAGGGCUUGGACUACUACGAACUCUUUUGUUACAGUGUGGCUUAGACUUCCUGAAUAUAGGGAUUCUUAAGAAUAUGGGUAGAUGUGUUGGACCUCUUCUUCGUGUGGAUGACCGAACAUUAAUGGGUGUGAGGAGUAGAUAUGCUUGUAUGUGGAUUCAAGUCAAUCUAAACAACCCUCUACCUCGUUUGUUAAUGUUGAAGGUUUUAGACAACCCAUUAUUUAUGAGGGUCUCAAUUCAAUUUGUUUUAAAUAUGGGAAUUUAGACCAUAUCUCGCCUGAUUGCCCUUCUAUUCAGGAACAAGGUUCUUCCUCCAUUUCCUCAAAGGACCAUUCUUCUCUUGAGAGCCCUCCAGCUGAAGAACAAGGAUACGGUCCUUGGAUGCUUGUUCAAAGGAAAUCUCAUGCAUGCCGCGGGAAAGACGAAACAAACCCUUCAAAACUUGUCCCCUGUUAGUAAAUCAGCUUUCGACACAAGUCCUCCAAAGAUCCAUUCUCCCAAAAGUAAAAAGUUAGACAAGAUAUCCUAUUGUACCCAACUCCUCGUUGCUUGCUAAAGAGAAUGCUAAACCCUCUUGAUCCACCUGUAAAAUGGAUAUCUCUCUCUUACCCUCUCCCCAGUUGAAGGUAGGAAAUGUCUUAUCUUAAAUGAUCAAUCUAAUACUUACUUUUUAACGCUGAGCCACAACCCUCCCUUUCCCUCCAGAAUCUGCCCGAUGUGAUGCUUAGAAAGAUUGUUAAUAGUGAAGGGAUAGUUUCUUCCGCUCUUUCUCCAGGAGUUAAAGUUCAAGGGCAUUUUAGCUUUUCCUUCCCUCAAGUGAUCUUAGAAGAAACAAUCAACCCAGUAGGAAAUUUCGAGGACUCUUGCCUUGAUUUUGCCAGAGCCAAGAUCAACUCAAACUUCCGCCCUAGCUUUUCAGGAUAUCAGUUUACGAGCUCAACAUCCAACCUCUAGAAAAUCCAGAUUCCAGAGAAUCAACUCCUCAUUUUUCUAGUCUCGGUUGUCAUGAAUAUCCAUUACCUGAUUUUCUUCACGCACCUUCUGGUGAGAGAAAACCAUCUGCUAAUUUACAAGGUGGAACUGUUGACUAUACUGAAGGAAAUUACGGAAGAUGACCACUUUUGUUUCGAGACGACUGGUAUUCAACAUUUGUAUCAUCUUAUGUCAAUCCUCUUUUGGAACUACAAAAGUGAUCGUCAUCGCAAAUUUCUUAUCACAGUCAAUGAUCUGAUUAGGGUUCAACAACUAGACAUUUUGGUCAUUAUUAAAACGAA
Molecule: long non-coding RNA, 1421 nt
Filed under: Gossypium barbadense (sea-island cotton)
Lineage: Eukaryota; Viridiplantae; Streptophyta; Magnoliopsida; Malvales; Malvaceae
Description: long non-coding RNA (GBAR_LNC002271)
Source: RNAcentral